GACGAACGCUUGCGACGUGCCUAAGAAAUGCAAGUCGAACGGGGUGGCAACACCUAGUGGCGAACGGUCGCGUAACACGUGGGCAACCUGCCCUGAAGCGGGGGACGAACAACUCGAAAGAGUUGCUAAUACCGCAUGUGUAUCGGGAUGGCAUCAUCCAGGAUACAAAGCCUUCGGGCACUUCAGGAUGGGCCCGCGGCCUAUCAGCUUGUUGGUGAGGUAACGGCUCACCAAGGCUUCGACGGGUAGCUGGUCUGAGAGGACGAUCAGCC
This 272-nucleotide ribosomal RNA is filed under the name uncultured bacterium. RNAcentral's name for it is "partial 16S ribosomal RNA". It matches the Rfam family "Bacterial small subunit ribosomal RNA", at positions 28 to 309 of the family's 1533-position model. The record is from RNAcentral.